GUGUCAGCAGCCGCGGUAAUACGGAGGGUGCAAGCGUUAUCCGGAUUUACUGGGUUUAAAGGGUGCGCAGGCGGAUAUGUAAGUCAGUGGUGAAAUCUCCGGGCUUAACCCGGAAACUGCCGUUGAUACUAUAUAUCUUGAAUGCUGUGGAGGUAAGCAGAAUAUGUCAUGUAGCGGUGAAAUGCUUAGAGAUGACAUAGAAUACCUAUUGCGAAGGCAGCUUACUACGCAGAUAUUGACGCUCAUGCACGAAAGCGUGGGGAUCAAACAGGAUUAGAUACCCCCGUAGUCC
RNAcentral lists this ribosomal RNA (292 nucleotides) under uncultured bacterium. RNAcentral's name for it is "partial 16S ribosomal RNA". It matches the Rfam family "Bacterial small subunit ribosomal RNA", at positions 505 to 796 of the family's 1533-position model. The record is from RNAcentral.